Molecule: long non-coding RNA, 893 nt
Organism: Girardinichthys multiradiatus
Lineage: Eukaryota; Metazoa; Chordata; Actinopteri; Cyprinodontiformes; Goodeidae
Exons: 2
Source: RefSeq, a predicted model, not a curated record
CAUGUGGAUCAUCUGUAGAAGGUGAGCAUUAAGUUGUUGCCAGCAGAAGCUUGGACGAUGCCCCUCUCCAGAAAGGUGUCACAGGUAGACACAGAGUCAGGCCAGGUGUAGCUUCUAGGAAGAUAACAGAGGACAUAAAAAUGUGUAUAUGUUUCGUUAUGUUUACGUCUAUCUGUCAAUACAUUUAUCUCUCUAUCCAUCUAUGGGUAUCAGUAAAAUGAUGAUAUAUCAGCUUAAAUAAUGAGAGCACACUAGCUCAAAAAAGCGGGUCAACUUCGCCAAAAUACGAAGAUUGAGCUUUUCCGGUGGUGGCCGUUGUUUCCUUGUGGCGCGAGCACAGCGCGUCGGUUACGAGCUCGAAACUAGCACGCGCGUUUCUUGCCACCUAGGCGGCACAGAUUCAGUCCCUCUACCUGAUCAGAUAAAAUCUGAGUAACCUAAACAUGUGGAGAAGAGGUCUCAUGCCUACAACUUCUCUCCAGCAGAUGCACCGGGGCAGACUGUGGACUGACUUGGUAAAGCUGAGGAAGUUCUUCUGUGCUUUUGGUUCUGGUCACUGAUCUGAGAACUGUUCCCCAGGAUCUAGAAGUGAAUCGUCACCUCCUGCUCAUUAUUGAUCAUGGUUCAGUCAUCAGGCAGGAAGUUGAAAUAAAGAUGGCUGCCAUUAUGGCUGCUGUGUUUCUGCUCCACAGCAAGACCUUGUUCUCCAGUCUCUGCAGCUUCAGUUCAUAUUACUGUUAGAUCCUUGUGCAGAGUGGUGACCACAUGUAGAUUCAUUCAUCCAUCCGAGAGCUUCAGUAGCUUCACUUCACUGUAUUCUUCUUGUGUGUCUUUGAUGGGUUAGUUGUGAACAAGAACAAACCAGAUGAAUAAAUAAUAAUAUGGAACAAGAA